Molecule: long non-coding RNA, 1393 nt
Organism: Malus domestica (apple)
Lineage: Eukaryota; Viridiplantae; Streptophyta; Magnoliopsida; Rosales; Rosaceae
Source: RefSeq, a predicted model, not a curated record
GUUCCAGAAACCCUCCCCCACCAUUUUUCCUCUGCAAUUCUCCCCCGCAGCCCCAACAACAAAACCCACCGCCAUUGUCUCUUCCUUGUCCUCGGGGAAACUCUCUUCCUCACUCACUCACUCAUUUCUUCUCUUCCACUCCUGCAACUCCCAAUUCACUCAUUACCAUUCCCGUCUUCGCCACUCUCUCUUCCCCUUUAGAAAACCCGCCUCUGGCCCAAGAUGGGCCCAACGGUUCUACUCGGAAGCCUAUUAGCCUUUCUUCGGGAAUGUACCAGUCGCCGGUGACAAUUGCGUUGUGGGAAGCGAGGUUGAAGAUCUUCGAGAGGUUCUUUCUGGACCCGCCCAAAGACGCGCCGUCACAUAACAGGACGAAGAUUCUCUACAGUGCAUUUGUUGGUGUUUCAAAAACGUCGUUGAUGGUGAGGAGGGAGCCUCAGCAAACUCCGGUUGGUGUUGCGAGAAAUUCCUCUGAUUCGGGCCGGGUUAGGUCGUUUGUUGUACCUUCUGCAUGCUCAGGUCUGCAAACUCCAGUUGGUGUUGCAGAUUCGGCAGAUCAGACCUGAAAUCGAACCGAAAAAAUGGUUCGCCUCGAGCCAGGUGCACGGGUCAAUGGAGGUGGAGUUCCAGGUGGUGAUCUUGUUGGAUGGUUAGAUGGCUUUGUUUCUCUGCAAGUGAGAAACAAAGCUAGGAGGUGUGCUGAGCAAUGGCGUGGUCAGAAAUUAUUCGACUGAAGCUGCUGCUUUGAGAUUUGGCCUUUUCCAAGCCAAGCGUGCAUGUUACUCAGGGUUGGAGCCGCAGCUAAUCCACAACAAUGUGAAGUCGAGUAAUGUGCUGCUGGACCGCGGAGGCUAACUGAAAUCAAAGAAUCAGGUAGUAGUGAUUGUGAUUGAUGACGUGCCCAAGUAGGAGGAGCCGGAGAGCUACGGAUUUGCCUCUUUUGCUAUCGACCUCGAUGGUCACGACGGCUCCGAUGGCCUCUUCGAUUCGUCCCCAACGUUGGCGUCGUGGUCAACGACUACCUCUCGUUCUUUAAUUUGUUCAAACAUUAGAAACCACAAUUUCAGGGACAUCUGCAACACUAUCUUCAGUUAACAAACCCCUCGGGUGGAGAAGAAAACUUGGGAUGGGGUGGGUUUUUGGAUGGGAGGGGAGAUGAAGAGAGUGGAGGAGAUGGACGUGGGUCAGGGGAAUGGAUUUAUGGGUUCCAUUUUUUUUUUUUUUAAUUUUAAAUAGGAUAAAUUAUUGUAAUUUUUAAAUGCAUAAAAAAAUUCUUUUUUUACCACGUGACACACAUUUAGCAAUCACGUCAGCUCUUAACGGGCCAAUGGAUGGAAAAUGUAACGGUAACGGUUGUAUUAUAUUGAAAUAAAAUAGUAUUUGAGGUACGAAA